This 498-nucleotide ribosomal RNA is filed under the name uncultured bacterium. RNAcentral's name for it is "partial 16S ribosomal RNA". It matches the Rfam family "Bacterial small subunit ribosomal RNA", at positions 27 to 507 of the family's 1533-position model. The record is from RNAcentral.
GGAUGAACGCUGGCGGCGUGCCUAAUACAUGCAAGUCGAGCGAACAGACGAGGAGCUUGCUCCUCUGACGUUAGCGGCGGACGGGUGAGUAACACGUGGAUAACCUACCUAUAAGACUGGGAUAACUUCGGGAAACCGGAGCUAAUACCGGAUAAUAUAUUGAACCGCAUGGUUCAAUAGUGAAAGACGGUUUUGCUGUCACUUAUAGAUGGAUCCGCGCCGCAUUAGCUAGUUGGUAAGGUAACGGCUUUCCAAGGCAACGAUGCGUAGCCGACCUGAGAGGGUGAUCGGCCACACUGGAACUGAGACACGGUCCAGACUCCUACGGGAGGCAGCAGUAGGGAAUCUUCCGCAAUGGGCGAAAGCCUGACGGAGCAACGCCGCGUGAGUGAUGAAGGUCUUCGGAUCGUAAAACUCUGUUAUUAGGGAAGAACAAAUGUGUAAGUAACUAUGCACGUCUUGACGGUACCUAAUCAGAAAGCCACGGCUAACUACGUG